UAUUAACAUGCCAAUGGUAGGAUAUGCAUCUUGUAUAAAUGACUAAGACCGACUAAGGCUAAUUUGAGAGGUGGUCGGAGGGGUUCUGAUCCCGAAAUCCUGAAAUCGAAAAAUAUAUUCCCGAAUCUCGCAAGGAUCAAUCCCAAAAUCUUGAGCUUAAAAAUAGAGUGAAAAAUAAAAAGGCAGGACAGAGAUAACAGCUAAAAAAAAAUGCAGGACAACAUUUUUCAUCCUUGAUUGAUACGUUGUUCUGUGCAGCAUUUUUUGUGAUUCUUUAUAUCCUUAUGUGUAGUAUAUGAUAAAUAUUCAGAAUUAUAUUGCAUCCGGUCAUCAUCUCUUAUGGUCCCGCAACCUGCCGAUACUAAUGGUUCUGCAUUGAACUAUCUCAUACUUUUGUAUAAACUUGUGCUUAUGUUUUUGUGCUAAAUCCGUUGGAAGUGUAUUACCGAGUUGAUAUUUAAGUUAUGGAAAAUAACCCGGUAUCAUUGUUUCUUAAAUUAAAUUGUUUUCUGAAAUAGGUCUUGAAAAAUUAUCAGACAGAAGGAAGAAGCAUAAACUUACUACAUUUUAUAAAAUAAAAAAUGGAUUUUCUCCAAGUUAUAUGAUAGAUUUAUUAGAACUUUGUUUUCUCACACCGAAUGAUUACAAUCUUAGGAGAGACUCUCAGAA
RNAcentral lists this long non-coding RNA (669 nucleotides) under Mytilus galloprovincialis (Mediterranean mussel). Lineage: Eukaryota; Metazoa; Mollusca; Bivalvia; Mytilida; Mytilidae. The record is from RNAcentral.